RNAcentral lists this transfer RNA (85 nucleotides) under Candidatus Wolfebacteria bacterium. RNAcentral describes it as "tRNA-Leu". It matches the Rfam family "tRNA". From Rfam's summary of the family: Transfer RNA (tRNA) molecules are approximately 80 nucleotides in length. Their secondary structure includes four short double-helical elements and three loops (D, anti-codon, and T loops). Further hydrogen bonds mediate the characteristic L-shaped molecular structure. tRNAs have two regions of fundamental functional importance: the anti-codon, which is responsible for specific mRNA codon recognition, and the 3' end, to which the tRNAs corresponding amino acid is attached (by aminoacyl-tRNA synthetases). tRNAs cope with the degeneracy of the genetic code in two manners: having more than one tRNA (with a specific anti-codon) for a particular amino acid; and 'wobble' base-pairing, i.e. permitting non-standard base-pairing at the 3rd anti-codon position. Lineage: Bacteria; Candidatus Wolfeibacteriota. The record is from RNAcentral.
GCCGUGGUGGCGGAAUUGGUAGACGCGCACGACUCAAAAUCGUGUGAGGUAACUCAUGAGGGUUCGAUUCCCUCCCGCGGCACAA